AAGUAAGAAGCAAAUUUAUUGUAAUCAGUUUCGACCUGAUAGUAAGAUAUAUACAUAUCCUUGCUUG
RNAcentral lists this transfer RNA (67 nucleotides) under Creobroter elongata. RNAcentral's name for it is "tRNA-Arg". Lineage: Eukaryota; Metazoa; Arthropoda; Insecta; Mantodea; Hymenopodidae. The record is from RNAcentral.